CUCCAGGACAAACACAGUUGUGGGACCGGUUGAUCUCUGGAACUUUUAGAGCUUUUGCUGUGCCCUGAGUCCUAGCUCCAUGCAGGGCACUUCAGGAAUCCAGCAGAGGUCCGUCAGCCCAUCCAGGGACCCUUGAGUCUGAGGAGAAUCCCACCCAGUGUGUUCUCCUGGCAUUUAGUACAGAGUGAGUUUGCUCUGCUCCUUGAGAGGAGUAAGUGGCUUUAUAAUCCAAGAGGCUUUGCAACCUGUUUCUCUUUCACUUCAGAGGGUGGGGAAGAGACAGCCUUGUCAGGCGAAGUUGGGAAGAGGAACUGCAGGGAGAGCCAGCCAGCUCGUCAGGAAACAUGAAGGCGGCUGGCCUAUCAACUCCUGAUUGUUUUAAGAUCCCCUCCUCCCCUCCCUGGUCCCUGCUCCCCUCUCCCCUCUUCUCCCCCUUGCCACACCGAGAAGGUUAGGAGAGUUGAAGUCUCCUCAGAGGUGGUGUCGGAGAAGGCAAUGGAAACCCACUCUAGUAUUCUUGCCUGGAGAAUCCCAUGGAUGGAGGAGCCUGGUGGGCUGCCGUCUAUGGGGUCGCACAGAGUCGGACACGACUGAAGCGACUUAGCAGCAGCAGCAGCAGAGGUGGUGUAUUUUGCGGAGCCUCCUGGCCUGACUUCCGUUUGUUUACAAGGCAGGUCUCCCAGUGCAGAGGGAAAGGAGGGGAAUUAAAGAGCCGGAUUGAUAGGAUACUGCAGGGCCGCACUGUCUCACAGCCCUUCUUAGAACCCGAAUACUCUCAGCUCAGAACCUCUUUAGACAAUCAGUCACUUCAAGCCUCUUACCAAACAGAUGGGGAAACAGGCUCUGAGGGGAGAAUUUCUGUCUCACGCCUAGGGUUAAGAUUCAAAUCUACUUGGAUCCCCCAGCCUCCAUUAAAGGACUGUUUAGAACAGACACUCUGUGAUUGUCUUCCUCAUCUCUGGAGGGUCUUGCAUAUUUCUGGAGCAUUCCACACUCUUUCUGGAAGAAGAGAAGGCUCCGCUGGGAUGGGGGGAACAGAUUUUCCAGGUGAGGAUUAUCUUAAGUCUAUGGGCUCCGCCCCUUGACGAUCAGGGCCCCUGAACUCCCUGCCAGCUGAACCCUGUUCGCCUUAUCACAGUCUCAGCUCUCCCUUUCCCCAACUAGUGAUGUAGAGAGAGAGGCAGAGAUGACCAAGAUGACACACCCCUGUGCCCUGUCCACCCCUCCCGCCCUGUGUUUCAUUCAUUCACUCUCUCUCUCCCUGCCUCCGUCCACAACAGCAUGAUUCUGUACCAGCUGAGUGAGGGACUGUGCUUACCCUUGAGGAACUCCCAACUUAGCAAAACACACACAUGGACAGAAAAAACAGGCUGAGAAAAACACUGUGAGUACCCCCAGAAGGAGACUGCCAACUUUUGUCUGUGAGAUUCAGGAAAAGUCCCAGAGAGAAGGUGCCAUCUGAGCUGACUCUGAAAAGAUGAGCUGGCUUGAAUGAGAGCAAUGAAGAAGGAGCCCUCCCCCUCUGGUUAAGAAGCUUGCCCUGGUUGUGGGAAGAACUAGAGGCAGGUGGCUGGCUGCUGGCCCCCAAAUGUGGGGUAUUGGGAAAGGAAGGAUGGCUGAGCCGCACAGUUUGGUUGGACCGAUCCCGACUCCUUCUCCCGUCCCCACGCUGAGCCAAGCCUGGUCUGCUGCGGAGGACCUUGGUCCCCACAUGCCUCUCUGGGUCCUGGAAACUCAGCACCUUUGCCUCUGCUCUGACCUCCAGCCCUGUGUCUAAGUGCCCCUUGGACUUCCUGCAGACUGGAGUCUUUGUUACCAGCUUUCCACUUAUUCUGGGGCUCCAGCUCUGCCCCACGUCAUGAGGAACCAGGAGGAAGGCUCCCUGAGAGGUUUCUCAGGGCCCAAAGUCCAGAGGAAAACAGGCUAACUCACCUGCUUCUGCCUGGUUCUAUACUUUGGCCCAGAAAGUAACUGCACAAAUGUAGGGUAGAGAAGUAUGACUUAGCAGCAACAUAGAAAACAAAACUUAGGAUUUGAGUUUAUGAUAAGCUGGGGCUUCCCUAGUGGCUCAGACGGUAAAGAAUCUGCCUGCAACACAGGAGACUGGGUUUGAUCCCUGGGUCCGGAAGAUCCCCUGGAGAAGGGAAUGGCAACCCACUCCAGU
Molecule: long non-coding RNA, 2164 nt
Organism: Bos taurus (domestic cattle)
Lineage: Eukaryota; Metazoa; Chordata; Mammalia; Artiodactyla; Bovidae
Source: Ensembl